This 484-nucleotide ribosomal RNA is filed under the name uncultured bacterium. Its description in RNAcentral is "partial 16S ribosomal RNA". It matches the Rfam family "Bacterial small subunit ribosomal RNA", at positions 30 to 507 of the family's 1533-position model. The record is from RNAcentral.
AUUGAACGCUGGCGGCAGGCCUAACACAUGCAAGUCGAGCGGAUGAAGGGAGCUUGCUCCUGGAUUCAGCGGCGGACGGGUGAGUAAUGCCUAGGAAUCUGCCUGGUAGUGGGGCAUAACGUCCGGAAACGGGCGCUAAUACCGCAUACGUCCUGAGGGAGAAAGUGGGGGAUCUUCGGACCUCACGCUAUCAGAUGAGCCUAGGUCGGAUUAGCUAGUUGGUGGGGUAAAGGCCUACCAAGGCGACGAUCCGUAACUGGUCUGAGAGGAUGAUCAGUCACACUGGAACUGAGACACGGUCCAGACUCCUACGGGAGGCAGCAGUGGGGAAUAUUGGACAAUGGGCGAAAGCCUGAUCCAGCCAUGCCGCGUGUGUGAAGAAGGUCUUCGGAUUGUAAAGCACUUUAAGUUGGGAGGAAGGGCAGUAAGUUAAUACCUUGCUGUUUUGACGUUACCAACAGAAUAAGCACCGGCUAACUUCGUG